This 1345-nucleotide ribosomal RNA is filed under the name uncultured bacterium. RNAcentral describes it as "partial 16S ribosomal RNA". It matches the Rfam family "Bacterial small subunit ribosomal RNA", at positions 28 to 1381 of the family's 1533-position model. The record is from RNAcentral.
GACGAACCUUGGCGGCGUGCUUAACACAUGCAAGUCGAACGGAAAGGCCCUGCUUUUGUGGGGUGCUCGAGUGGCGAACGGGUGAGUAACACGUGAGUAACCUGCCCUUGACUUUGGGAUAACUUCAGGAAACUGGGGCUAAUACCGGAUAGGAGCUCCUGCUGCAUGGUGGGGGUUGGAAAGUUUCGGCGGUUGGGGAUGGACUCGCGGCUUAUCAGCUUGUUGGUGGGGUAGUGGCUUACCAAGGCUUUGACGGGUAGCCGGCCUGAGAGGGUGACCGGCCACAUUGGGACUGAGAUACGGCCCAGACUCCUACGGGAGGCAGCAGUGGGGAAUAUUGCACAAUGGGCGGAAGCCUGAUGCAGCAACGCCGCGUGCGGGAUGACGGCCUUCGGGUUGUAAACCGCUUUCGCCUGUGACGAAGCGUGAGUGACGGUAAUGGGUAAAGAAGCACCGGCUAACUACGUGCCAGCAGCCGCGGUGAUACGUAGGGUGCGAGCGUUGUCCGGAUUUAUUGGGCGUAGAGGGCUCGUAGGUGGUUGAUCGCGUCGGAAGUGUAAUCUUGGGGCUUAACCCUGAGCGUGCUUUCGAUACGGGUUGACUUGAGGAAGGUAGGGGAGAAUGGAAAUCCUGGUGGAGCGGUGGAAUGCGCAGAUAUCAGGAGGAACACCAGUGGCGAAGGCGGUUCUCUGGGCCUUUUCUGACGCUGAGGAGCGAAAGCGUGGGGAGCGAACAGGCUAGAUACCCUGGUAGUCCACGCUGUAAACGGUGGGUACUAGGUGUGGGGUCCAUUCCACGGGUUCCGUGCCGUAGCUAACGCUUUAAGUACCCCGCCUGGGGAGUACGGCCGCAAGGCUAAAACUCAAAGGAAUUGACGGGGCCCCGCACAAGCGGCGGAGCAUGCGGAUUAAUUCGAUGCAACGCGUAGAACCUUACCUGGGUUUGACAUGGAUCGGGAGUGCUCAGAGAUGGGUGUGCCUCUUUUGGGGUCGGUUCACAGGUGGUGCAUGGCUGUCGUCAGCUCGUGUCGUGAGAUGUUGGGUUAAGUCCCGCAACGAGCGCAACCCUUGUUCACUGUUGCCAGCACGUUAUGGUGGGGACUCAGUGGAGACCGCCGGGGUCAACUCGGAGGAAGGUGGGGAUGACGUCAAGUCAUCAUGCCCCUUAUGUCCAGGGCUUCACGCAUGCUACAAUGGCUGGUACAGAGAGUGGCGAGCCUGUGAGGGUGAGCGAAUCUCGGAAAGCCGGUCUCAGUUCGGAUUGGGGUCUGCAACUCGACCUCAUGAAGUCGGAGUCGCUAGUAAUCGCAGAUCAGCAACGCUGCGGUGAAUACGUUCCCGGGGCU